CGCGGCCUAUCAGCUUGUUGGUGAGGUAAUGGCUCACCAAGGCGACGACGGGUAGCCGGCCUGAGAGGGUGACCGGCCACACUGGGACUGAGACACGGCCCAGACUCCUACGGGAGGCAGCAGUGGGGAAUAUUGCACAAUGGGCGAAAGCCUGAUGCAGCGACGCCGCGUGAGGGAUGACGGCCUUCGGGUUGUAAACCUCUUUCAGUAGGGAAGAAGCGAAAGUGACGGUACCUGCAGAAGAAGCGCCGGCUAACUACGUGCCAGCAGCCGCGGUAAUACGUAGGGCGCAAGCGUUAUCCGGAAUUAUUGGGCGUAAAGAGCUCGUAGGCGGUUUGUCGCGUCUAUCGUGGAAGUCCGAGGCUCAACCUCGGAUCUGCGGUGGGUACGGGCAGACUAGAGUGAUGUAGGGGAGACUGGAAUUCCUGGUGUAGCGGUGAAAUGCGCAGAUAUCAGGAGGAACACCGAUGGCGAAGGCAGGUCUCUGGGCAUUAACUGACGCUGAGGAGCGAAAGCAUGGGGAGCGAACAGGAUUAGAUACCCUGGUAGUCCAUGCCGUAAACGUUGGGCACUAGGUGUGGGGGACAUUCCACGUUUUCCGCGCCGUAGCUAACGCAUUAAGUGCCCCGCCUGGGGA
Molecule: ribosomal RNA, 637 nt
Filed under: uncultured bacterium
Lineage: Bacteria
Description: bacterial SSU rRNA
Rfam family: Bacterial small subunit ribosomal RNA
Source: RNAcentral